This is an RNA transcript of Podarcis raffonei (Aeolian wall lizard), 3083 nucleotides long. It is a transcript of the gene named actin binding LIM protein family member 2, with no coding region annotated. Lineage: Eukaryota; Metazoa; Chordata; Lepidosauria; Squamata; Lacertidae. The record is from RefSeq and is a predicted model, not a curated record. The transcript has 21 exons.
CGACGCAGGAGGCCGGCGCCUCGUCCCGCCGCAGGAGAGCCUCGGCCGGAGCCUGGCCAGCCGCGCCACAGGUGCCCGCCUGCCGGGGAUGCCCGCGUCGCCAGCCCGGCGGCCACGGCAGCGACCCUGCGGGGCAGAGGCGCACCAUGAGCACCGGCACAGCUUCUCAGCCACAGGCUGUGCACAGCCACUUGGAAAAGCCUUCUGGUGCUGCAAUCCUCUGCAAUAAUUGUGGAAAUCCAUGCAAAGGAGAGGUGCUAAGAGUACAAAAGAAGUAUUUCCAUAUUAAAUGUUUUGUUUGCAAAGCAUGCGGAUGUGACUUGGCUCAAGGAGGAUUUUUUGUAAGACAAGGAGACUAUAUCUGUACUUUGGACUAUCAGCGCCUCUAUGGGACACGGUGCUUCAGCUGUGAUCAGUUUAUUGAGGGAGAAGUGGUUUCAGCACUGGGGAAAACCUAUCAUCCAAAUUGUUUUGUGUGUGUAGCUUGCAGGCAACCUUUUCCUCCUGGGGACCGCGUAACUUUCAAUGGCAAAGACUGUAUCUGUCAGAAAUGCUCUCUGCCACCUGCUGGAAGCAACAGCAAUUUUCCAGUCCUCCGAAAUUGUGGGAAUUGUGGCUCUGAAAUAAAAAAUGGACAGUCUUUGGUUGCUUUGGACAAACACUGGCACUUGUCCUGUUUUAAGUGCAAGAUAUGUGGCAAACUUCUGAAUGCUGAAUAUAUCAGCAAAGAUGGUGUUCCAUAUUGUGAAAUGGACUAUCAUGCUAAAUUUGGAAUAAGAUGUGACAAUUGUGAAAAGUACAUCACAGGAAGAGUUCUGGAGGCUGGAGAAAAACACUAUCACCCAACUUGUGCACUGUGUAUCAAGUGCAACCAGAUGUUUGCAGAAGGAGAAGAGAUGUAUCUUCAAGGGGCUUCCAUCUGGCAUCCCGCCUGCAGACAGGCAGCCAAAGCUGAAGAAAAAGCCAAGUUCCAGGAAACUAGAACAUCAUCUGAGAGUAUAAUUUCAGUACCUGCUUCAAAUACUUCAGGUUCCCCAAGUCGAGUGAUUUAUGCAAAACUUGGAGUUGAAAUCCUUGAUUACAGAGAUUUGGCUGCUCUUCCUAAGGAUAAAGCUAUCUAUAACAUAGACCGUCCAGAUAUGAUCUCCUAUUCUCCAUAUAUCAGCUAUUUGACAGAUGACAGACAUAGUUACGGGGAGGGUGACCAAGAUGACCGUUCUUUCAAGCAGUACAGGAUAUCCAGCCCUAGUUCUACUGGCUCACUUGGCUACGGCCGCAACACCCCAACCUCUCACUCUCCUCAGAAUUACAGCCGACCAGCUGGUACUCAGACUCUUGGUACCAGUAGCUGCAUCUCCCUGCCCCAACACACAAGCCUUACAUCUACAUUCAGACAUCAUUACAUCCCUUUCUUCAAAGGCAGCGAAAGUGGUCGAAGCACUCCAAGCUUAUCCAUGUGCUCAGACAGCAAAUCUUCAUCAUCGCUAUAUCAGCAAGCACCUAGACAUUUCCAUGUCCCAGACACUGGAAUAAAAGAUAACAUCUAUAGGAAACCCCCUAUCUACAGACAGCAUGCGUCAAGAAAAUCAGAUGAUGACAGCAGUAGUUGUGAUCAAGACAGCAGGAAGCUAAAAUCAAGUUGGCUGACUUUGAAAGGGGAGGUGGAUGCCAGAACUAACUCUCCAGAUCUGGAUACUCAGUCACUCCCACAAAGUCCUGGAACCGACAGAGAGCUACAGCGUUUGCACAGUAAUGCAAACAGUACCUACUUACGAUUUCCAUAUUCCAAAUCUGCUUCUCUUCCUGACUAUGGAAAGAAUGGGUUACACCAUGCUGCAGAUAUGGCCCAGUAUGACACCGACCAGGAUUCUACUUGGGGAAAGAGAGAAUACAAGGUAAGGGUUGCUGUUGACAACACUUAGAGAAUGUUGAGAAUCAGCCCUUCUUAACAAGGUUUAUCCAUAUGAAACACUUAUUGUAACAAACAGAGUUCGAGUGAAGCUGCCAAAGGAUGUAGACAGAACUAGGCUGGAGCGUCACCUGUCCCCUGAACAGUUCCAGGAAGUCUUCGAAAUGAGCAUUGAACAAUUUGAACGACUUGCACUUUGGAAAAGAAAUGAGCUAAAGAAAAAAGCUCUGCUUUUCUAGCCUCCCGUAGACAAACUGAAAUGUGCUUAAUGAAAACAAACUGCACUCUUGCCACAGCUUAUCAUCUGCACCUGCUGUUGACCCUUUGUCUAGCUUCAUUGUGUUAGGGGUAGGGACAGAAAAUUGGAGAGAGAGAAAACAUGGCAUUUGCAUGACCCAGAGGAAUAUCUCAGUAGCUACUGGGUCUUCAAAAGUAUAUAACAAGCCUUGCUUUAAAUUAAUGAUUGCUUUAGCUGUUGCCUGUUGCAAAAAAAAAAGUAAUUUUAAAUAAGAAGGAAAUGUGUAGUUUUGACAAAAAAAUCGGCUACUGUUUUGUUUCUACAUUUUGCACUAGUGAGCAAAACCUGUACAAAAUCAAAAUAUGCUGAUGAAAAAAAUCUUCCCCAAGAGGGUAAAAAAUGUGCUACUUUGAAGCAAAUGUGAUAAAGGCCAAAGAAAAGCAUGUCAGAAAGUCACUCUUGCCAAUGUUUGUGUGUGACAUCUUUUUAGGAAUAAAAGCAAACCUAUAAUAAAGCACUUUAAGUCUCAUUCUCUCACUUAAAUACAAUCUGCUGUUCCACAUGUAAAGUAGCAAAUGAAAAAUAGCUAUCCAUCUUUUAUUUUAGUAAAGAUAGAUUGUGAUGUACAUGUGUUCAGAGUACCAUUCAGACAGUUCAACAUGCAACCUAUUUUAGAUGAAGUACUUGAUUUAAAAUGCCUGAACCAUUUAUUUCAGUGGGACAAAGUUCUAACUACUUUGGGUUUACCCAGCUGGAGAUCAUGUAGUAAUUCAACUUUCACAUCACAAAAAUGCGUAAAUUCUUGUGUGUCAUAAGGCUGUGCAAUUCUGACUGUAUUUCUAUUUUUUCUACAUUUCACAUACAAAGAAUGUGUAACUAAUAUUGAUUCUAUGCACACAGUGGUUGUCCAUAUUAAAAAUAUUGUUUUGUAACUCA